This is a long non-coding RNA of Pongo pygmaeus (Bornean orangutan), 923 nucleotides long. RefSeq lists it as uncharacterized. The transcript has 4 exons. The record is from RefSeq and is a predicted model, not a curated record. NCBI's taxonomy places the organism in Eukaryota, Metazoa, Chordata, Mammalia, Primates, Hominidae.
GGUGUAUCAGCCAUUUUAAAUCUGCCCUCAAAAGCACAGAACAAAUCAGAUGGCAUUUUGCUCAUAGAGGAGAGGGUCUGUGAGAACCAAAUUCCAGCUUCAGCACAUGACCUUGGGAUGUUGUUAUGUCCAAAGCCAUCUUGCCAUGAGCAGCCUGAGACUGGAGCCAAUGACUGAGGGUGGCAGAGUAGAAAGAUGGUAUUUUGAAACCAAGAAAGAGAAAUAGAAAACCCUCAACACUUUACAAAUGAAAACUAAAGAGAUGUUUGAGAGCAUGAGAAAGGAAGUCAAGGAAAGCUUGACCAUCCCCGGCAGAGUCUGGAGUUUGGCAGCUGGGAAUGGAGAUAGUGUGCAGAGUGAACAAAGGUCCAAGAUGGGCUCAGAGCCACUGAAUGACAACACACCUUCCGAAUGGACAUGACUCCUCAGAUUCCUCUGGUCUCUCUCUAACACCUCACAGAGCAGCUGCCAGAGAGCAGCUGCCACACCACACCACUCUCAGGUUCAUUAGUUAUUCUUUAGGCGGUUAGAGCACAGUAUGAAGGAAGCAGGGUGGAUUGGUUUUAUUCCUGCAAUGAUUAGGGCAUUUUGCACUGCUUAGUGGCCGUAUCCUGCUCCCUGAGGCUAGUCUACAGGUGGGAAAUAUUGGUCCUGCUGAGGAACCAACUAGCAUCACCAGAUGCAUUGGCAACGUUGGAAAAAUACAAUCUCAUGAGCAAUGGUAUGCCCCAUGUGUCCUAAAUGUUUUUCUAUGCCAGUAAUUUUCAAAUUAUUUUAGCCUUUAAGGUUUUUUUUCCCUCCAACUGAAAUCUUACUAGGAAACUCAUCAAAAAGAAGAGGAGCUGUUCUGAUUCAAGUUUGGCAGAAUUCAGAGAUCCAUGUAAAGGAUUCCUUUCCUCCUCUGAACUCUGCCACAAUCAUUU